UGGUGGAGUGAUUUGUCUGGUUAAUUCCGUUAACGAACGAGACCUCGACCUGCUAAAUAGUUGGGCGAAUUCUUCGGGAUUCGUGUUCAUAACUUCUUAGAGGGACUAUCGGUGCGUAGCCGAUGGAAGUUCGAGGCAAUAACA
RNAcentral lists this ribosomal RNA (144 nucleotides) under uncultured eukaryote. Its description in RNAcentral is "partial 18S ribosomal RNA". It matches the Rfam family "Eukaryotic small subunit ribosomal RNA", at positions 1299 to 1458 of the family's 1831-position model. The record is from RNAcentral.